RNAcentral lists this ribosomal RNA (491 nucleotides) under uncultured bacterium. RNAcentral's name for it is "partial 16S ribosomal RNA". It matches the Rfam family "Bacterial small subunit ribosomal RNA", at positions 28 to 507 of the family's 1533-position model. The record is from RNAcentral.
GAUGAACGCUAGCUACAGGCUUAACACAUGCAAGUCGAGGGGAAACGAUGAGAGAGCUUGCUCUCUUAGUCUUCGACCGGCGCACGGGUGAGUAACGCGUAUUCAACCUGCCUCUGACCAAGGGAUAACCCGCCGAAAGUCGGACUAAUACCUUAUGCAGUCGUCGGAAGUUAUCUGAUGACGACGAAAGAUUUCAUCGGCGAGAGAUGGGGAUGCGUCUGAUUAGCUUGGUGGCGGGGUAACGGCCCACCAAGGCGACGAUCAGUAGGGGUUCUGAGAGGAGGGACCCCGACAUUGGAACUGGGACACGGUCCAAACGCCUGCGAGCGGCAGCGGUGAGGAAUAUUGGGCAAGGAGCGUAAGCCUGAACCAGCCAAGUAGCGUGCAGGAUGACGGGCCUAUGGGUUGUAAACUGCUUUUAUGCGGGGGUAAAGUGGGGGACGCGUCCUUCAUUGCAGGUACCGUAUGAAUAAGGACCGGCUAAUUCCGUG